This 897-nucleotide ribosomal RNA is filed under the name uncultured bacterium. Its description in RNAcentral is "bacterial SSU rRNA". It matches the Rfam family "Bacterial small subunit ribosomal RNA", at positions 8 to 916 of the family's 1533-position model. The record is from RNAcentral.
AGAGUUUGAUCCUGGCUCAGGAUGAACGCUGGCGGCGUGCUUAACACAUGCAAGUCGAACGGUGAAAGAGAGCUUGCUCUCUGGAUCAGUGGCGAACGGGUGAGUAACACGUGAGCAAUCUGCCCCUGACUCUGGGAUAAGCGUUGGAAACGACGUCUAAUACCGGAUACGAGCUGCGAAGGCAUCUUCAGCAGCUGGAAAGAACUUCGGUCAGGGAUGAGCUCGCGGCCUAUCAGCUAGUUGGUGAGGUAACGGCUCACCAAGGCGUCGACGGGUAGCCGGCCUGAGAGGGUGACCGGCCACACUGGGACUGAGACACGGCCCAGACUCCUACGGGAGGCAGCAGUGGGGAAUAUUGCACAAUGGGCGCAAGCCUGAUGCAGCAACGCCGCGUGAGGGACGACGGCCUUCGGGUUGUAAACCUCUUUUAGCAGGGAAGAAGCGAAAGUGACGGUACCUGCAGAAAAAGCACCGGCUAACUACGUGCCAGCAGCCGCGGUAAUACGUAGGGUGCAAGCGUUAUCCGGAAUUAUUGGGCGUAAAGAGCUCGUAGGCGGUUUGUCGCGUCUGCUGUGAAAACCCGAGGCUCAACCUCGGGCCUGCAGUGGGUACGGGCAGACUAGAGUGCGGUAGGGGAGAUUGGAAUUCCUGGUGUAGCGGUGGAAUGCGCAGAUAUCAGGAGGAACACCGAUGGCGAAGGCAGAUCUCUGGGCCGUAACUGACGCUGAGGAGCGAAAGGGUGGGGAGCAAACAGGCUUAGAUACCCUGGUAGUCCACCCCGUAAACGUUGGGAACUAGUUGUGGGGUCCAUUCCACGGAUUCCGUGACGCAGCUAACGCAUUAAGUUCCCCGCCUGGGGAGUACGGCCGCAAGGCUAAAACUUAAAGGAAUUGACGG